This 391-nucleotide ribosomal RNA is filed under the name uncultured bacterium. RNAcentral describes it as "bacterial SSU rRNA". It matches the Rfam family "Bacterial small subunit ribosomal RNA", at positions 28 to 420 of the family's 1533-position model. The record is from RNAcentral.
GACGAACGCUGGCGGCGUGCUUAACACAUGCAAGUCGAGCGGUAAGGCCCUUUCGGGGGUACACGAGCGGCGAACGGGUGAGUAACACGUGGGUGACCUGCCCUCAGCUCUGGGAUAAGCCUGGGAAACUGGGUCUAAUACCGGAUAUGACUCCAUGACGCACGUUGUGGGGUGGAAAGCCUUGUGCGGCUGAGGAUGGGCCCGCGGCCUAUCAGCUUGUUGGUGGGGUGAUGGCCUACCAAGGCGACGACGGGUAGCCGGCCUGAGAGGGCGACCGGCCACACUGGGACUGAGACACGGCCCAGACUCCUACGGGAGGCAGCAGUGGGGAAUCUUGCGCAAUGGGCGAAAGCCUGACGCAGCGACGCCGCGUGAGGGAUGACGGCCUCGG